CACGUAGGGGGCGAGCGUUGUCCGGAUUUAUUGGGCGUAAAGAGCUCGUAGGCGGUUCGCUAAGUCGGGUGUGAAACCUCCAGGCUCAACCUGGAGACGCCACCUGAUACUGGCGUGACUAGAGUCCGGUAGGGGAGUGUGGAACUCCUGGUGUAGCGGUGAAAUGCGCAGAUAUCAGGAAGAACACCAGCGGCGAAGGCGGCACUCUGGGCCGGUACUGACGCUGAGGAGCGAAAGCGUGGGUAGCAAACAGG
Molecule: ribosomal RNA, 254 nt
Filed under: uncultured bacterium
Lineage: Bacteria
Description: partial 16S ribosomal RNA
Rfam family: Bacterial small subunit ribosomal RNA
Source: RNAcentral